CUUUUCGAUGUCUGGGUUCUUUGUAUUUUAUGUUUGGCAAUAUUAUCCGUGCAUCUUUGACCUUCUUGCCCAUACCUCUAUCCAAAACAACGUUGUUGGAUGGCUUUAUUUUUCUCGGAAGCUUUGCUUCUGCCCUAAAGCUUUUGGUACAUUUCUUCGGAAUCACUGUAUUCUUCUUUUUAUAUCCCUAAUUUUUCUGCAACAAUGAAAGAUAUGGAGUGAUAUGGUGACAUUUGAGUAAUAGAGAGAAGGAUGGCAGAUAAGAGAGGAUGAGAAAGAGAGAAAUCAUUCUUUGAGCAUCAAAUCGUCGUUCCACCACCACCGCUCCCUUCAUCAGCAGCCGGAGAACCCAACAGAACGAAUCCGGCCGCCUGGGUUUCUCCGCAGCCGAAGAUACAUUCGGGUCGGGUCGCCAACUUUAACAUCAGAUGGUUGGUUUGCUGCUGUCCCGCAUUCAUUUCUUCUUUGUCUUCUGAUCUCUACUUCUUCCCGAUGAUAUAGUUUCUUUUGCUUUAAGAUGCGGAGGCAGUCCGGAUACCAACUCUAACCUCCCAAAUAAACCAAUCCUUAAUCAUUUAUACAUAAUCCAGGGAGGCUGGCGUCAUUGAUUCUUCUUCUCCCGCUUUAAGGUAGUGCCCUUGUGGCACGGAUGUUAUAUCUGCUGCUGUGAAGCAUCUAACACCAGUUGUUCUUGAGUUGGGUGGGAAAUGCCCUGCUUUUGUUGAUUCCUUUUUAUCUACUUGGGAAAAACAGAUAAUAUUUCAUCUUUCUACCACUGAUUGAUUUACCAUAUUAAGAUUGUGACAAAACAAUCAACCCAAUUCUCAGCAGUUCAUCAUCUAAAAUAGAGAGAACUUUGCAUUGCUGCAAGCAGCUCCUUUAGUAGUAUUUUUUUUUCCCUGUUGUUUAAUCUCAAGGUGGCUGUAAAUUGAAGUGCUGUCUCAAAGUUAACCUAUGCUUUUUAACUAAAAUUAUUAGGCACCUAACCUCAAAGUUAAAGCAUUUUUAUUCUUUAAUUAUGUCUCACAGUUGAUGGUUAUCAUCUAGAUUAAUUUGGAUUUUCUUUUUUGGUAUUUAUCAGCAGGAAAUGAGUAGGGGUUAAAGGUGCGGUACACACUAUUAAUUAAGGCUAUCUAUUGGUCAUUAGUGUCCUUACCUGAGGGAUGAUUACUAAGGUAUCAUAUUUCAAUAAAGAAUUUAACAUUUGAUUUUUAAUUGUAAUGUUUUUCAGACAAAAAUCAGUUGGAAUCAAGAAGAUACUAGGGCAAUCAAAGCUGGUAGAGACAAUAAUAUGUGUAUGAGGUGUGGUUUAUCAAUCUAAAGGAAUAUUUCAAAAGCAUCAGUUGCCAUUGAUGGAUGAUGUCAAAUUUAAAAAUCUGAUUAAUUGUUCAGGGACGUAGUGUGACAUCUUCAAAUUAUAAAUCUUUUUUAUUGUUAGGUCUUGGAAAAACAUGUACGGUAGGUUUUAUUAGUUGCAUAGGACUUCAUAGACAUUUUGUGUUUAUUGGUUCAUAGAUUCCUUCAAAUCUGUUGAAAGACUGCAAAGCUCUCUAGACUACUUAUCUUAAAGACAAUCCUAUUUCUAUGGAUCAA
Hevea brasiliensis (rubber tree) is the source of this 1593-nucleotide long non-coding RNA. RefSeq lists it as uncharacterized. The record is from RefSeq and is a predicted model, not a curated record. Lineage: Eukaryota; Viridiplantae; Streptophyta; Magnoliopsida; Malpighiales; Euphorbiaceae. The transcript has 2 exons.